AGAGAGAGACAUGCGCGCAUAUCAAUAAGCGGAGGAAAAGAAACUAACAAGGAUUCCCCUAGUAACGGCGAGUGAAGCGGGAAGAGCUCAAAUUUGAAAUCUUAAAGGGUUUCCCUUUACGAAUUGUAGUUUAAAGAAGUGUUUUCUGUUGAGGUUUUGGUAAAAGUUCUUUGGAAUAGGACAUCAUAGAGGGUGAGAAUCCCGUAUUUGACCUUUACUUUCAACUUUGUGAUACACUUUCAAAGAGUCGGAUUGUUUGGGAAUGCAGUCCAAAAUGGGUGGUAAAUUUCAUCUAAAGCUAAAUAUUGGCGAGAGACCGAUAGCGAACAAGUACCGUGAGGGAAAGAUGAAAAGAACUUUGAAAAGAGAGUUAAACAGUACGUGAAAUUGUCAAAAGGGAAGCGUUUGACACCAGUGUUGUUUUUCUGAAAAUCAAUUAAAGAACUGUUUAUGCUAAGCUGUUUAGACUUUAUCAGCUAUCUGUUUAGUUUUGAGCUUUUCUUUAAUGCACUUUUCAGUUAACAAGUCAACAUCAAUUUCUUUUGCUGCUAAAAAAGCUUGAGGAAGGUGGCUUGAGAUUCGUCCUUAAGUGUUUAUAGCCUCUUGCCUAUGCAGUCGGAGAGAUUGAGGUCUGCAGCGUAGAUCCUUCGGGGCUAAAUGCAUUUGUGCUAAGUUAUAGCAUUUUAUAGACAACUUGUUGACUAUGAUUUGUCUUGUAGCUUACUCGCUUAUGUUAUUUUACCUACGCUUAGGAUGUUGACGCAUGAGAUAUACGC
Molecule: ribosomal RNA, 776 nt
Filed under: uncultured Neocallimastigales
Lineage: Eukaryota; Fungi; Neocallimastigomycota; Neocallimastigomycetes; Neocallimastigales
Description: partial large subunit ribosomal RNA
Rfam family: Eukaryotic large subunit ribosomal RNA
Source: RNAcentral